Molecule: ribosomal RNA, 1128 nt
Filed under: Frullania teneriffae
Lineage: Eukaryota; Viridiplantae; Streptophyta; Jungermanniopsida; Porellales; Frullaniaceae
Description: eukaryotic LSU rRNA
Rfam family: 5.8S ribosomal RNA (bases 586-739)
Source: RNAcentral
ACGUUGUGAGAAGUUCAUUAAACCUUAUCAUUUAGAGGAAGGAGAAGUCGUAACAAGGUUUCCGUAGGUGAACCUGCGGAAGGAUCAUUGUACACACAAUCAAAAAUGUUGACGAAUCUCUCUCGUCCUCCUCCUUGGAUACGUUUCAAGGAGAGGGACGAGGAAACCACUUCAAAACUAUCAAAAAUGUACCCACGAAAGGAACGGCAAGCUUUAGAACCCGAGGGGAUUGCACUGUAGAGGUGCGAUCGUCGAUUAGUGAUUCCGGGACUCGCAGGCCUCCUCUGCUUAGGGAGAGGUGCUUGGGAGUGCCACCGCGGGUGCGUCGCGGGUGUGUUUCCAUGGUCGUCGGGGCGUCCCGCUCGCACCACUCCCGGACAACGUCUCCCAUCCUCUCCCUCCUAGAGGGAGGCGGGAGUAUGCUUGUCGGGAGUAGGAUGUUUCCUCCCCUCCUCUCGGGAGCACCUUUCCCUCCGGGUCGCCCGGAGAGCGGGAUCCCGAGAGCGUCCCGGCUUGUCUUUCCGUGGGUGCAGAAUCAGCCAAACAUCCAACCUGGAAAGCCAGGCGAGAAUUCAUCUACACAUGGACUUUCAGCAACGGAUAUCUUGGCUCUUGCAACGAUGAAGAACGCAGCGGAAUGCGAUACCUAGUGUGAAUUGCAGAAUUCCGCGAAUCAUCGAGUUUUUGAACGCAAGUUGCGCCCGAGGCUCUUACCGAGGGCAUGUCUGUCUGAGCGUCCUUGGGGUCCCGCCCAUCCAUCCACCUCGUCGUGCUGGCGAGGAUUCAUAAGAUGGGCGCCGGGAUGGCCUAUGCGCGGACCAUCCGUUGGGCUCACUGCCCAAGGGAAAGUGUCCCGCUCGGCUGAAAUCCAUGUCCGUCCUGGAAAUCGGAAGGGACGUUGCGAGAAGGUGCUCUGCUUCGCGAAAGUGGGUGGAUGAUAUCAUCGAUGUCAAUAGCACGCGACGCUCCCUUCCCUCUCGAAAGGAUUCGGAAAACAAACGGGACUCCCGUCAUCGCACGGGGGUUUUUCACGUCCUGGACCUCAGAUCAGGCAAGAUCACCCGCUGAGUUUAAGCAUAUCAUUAAGCGGAGGAAAAGAAACUAACGAGAUUUCCUUAGUAACGGCGA